Molecule: long non-coding RNA, 666 nt
Filed under: Cyanistes caeruleus (blue tit)
Lineage: Eukaryota; Metazoa; Chordata; Aves; Passeriformes; Paridae
Description: lncRNA (ENSCCEG00000022038.1)
Source: RNAcentral
AUGCUCUCCUCUUCCACCACUGACCAGCCCCUCGUCCUUCCGGAGGACACACCGAGAAUACUCCGGGGUUACACCGAGAAUACUCCGGGGUUACACCGAGGCUACACCUGCACACCACGCGUUACCUCCGCCUUUGCCAAGGACACAAACGUGUUCCAUGUGGAGAGGGCUGUGCUGGGCACUGCUUCCCUUUCCCAUAGGAAAAACAUUUUCCAGGAUCCAGAGCUCCUUUUCCCACUUGUAGGCAGGUCCCAGCCAUACAGAAGGGAUGGGGAUUCCAGGGAAAUCAGGAAAACACCUCUGGGAGAAUUCCCAGGGCUCAGCAGGGGUGUCUGUGCAGUUGCUGCCUUUGCCUGCAGCUCUUCCUUGCUCCACUCCACUUCCAGGGGUCAUCAGGCAGGUUGGAUAAAGCCUCCUGCCCGUUUGCCCUCCCUGCAGCCCCAGGAGCUCCCAGGAACACCAGGCUCCAUCCUCUCCCCUUUCUCAGGUGCUGCUUUCAGUCCCCUCCUGAGACGUUUUCCAAGAUGUGGAGACCCCAGCAAUGAACAGCUUUGCUGGAAUUCCUCUGGAAAUGAGGAGCUUUCCCAGCAUCCAGCAGGUGCCAGCUCAGGAUAAACCCAGAGGAUGCUGAAUAAAGGAUCAUUUCUGUGGUGGUUAAAGGUGAUU